GUAGGCGCCGAACGAGCCUCUCUGGGUGUCGGCGUUCCGCGGGGGGCGCGCGUGGGCGUGGCCCCUCAGUCCACGCGUGGCCCCUAAGUCGCCGCGGCUCUCGUCUGGGACGCAGCUUUCCGGAGUAGAGCCCUGGAGGUGAUAAGUGUGAUGCUUCCGUAAUACAUUUGGAUGUUGUCAGCUAAGUUCACUUCUGAACUAAGGGGUUCCUCCAAAUGUUGGCUGAAAUUUGUCCUUGCACAUCCCAAGGCUCGUCUGCAAAGUCUACAAUUCAUAAUGGAGCUACUGUACUGGCUAUUGGAAGGAGGAGAUUCUGAAGAUAAGGAGAUUCAGCGAUCGGUCUUUGAAAUUUCCUGUGAUGUGUUUCAAUCUAGAUGCAAAGGACAUGGAAAAAUCAAAGUGCUCGAGUGGUUUAAAUAUGUUUUGGAUGUUCCUGUUUAUAGACGAUAAUACUUUUCCAAUUAAAAUCCUCAGUUGUCAUGCAGAAGAAAGUUAAGCUCUACUUGAUUGCCAAUUUUACUGAAAAUGCUUAGUAUUUUACAGUAUCACUGAAUAUAUUUUGUUUAGCCAAAGUAUAGGAAAAAUAAAAUAAAUUGUAUAGGUUGA
This is a non-coding RNA of Chlorocebus sabaeus (green monkey), 606 nucleotides long. The record is from RefSeq and is a predicted model, not a curated record. NCBI's taxonomy places the organism in Eukaryota, Metazoa, Chordata, Mammalia, Primates, Cercopithecidae.